This 448-nucleotide ribosomal RNA is filed under the name uncultured soil bacterium. RNAcentral's name for it is "bacterial SSU rRNA". It matches the Rfam family "Bacterial small subunit ribosomal RNA", at positions 26 to 518 of the family's 1533-position model. The record is from RNAcentral.
AGAACGAACGCUGGCGGCAUGCCUAAUACAUGCAAGUCGAACGAACUCUUCGGAGUUAGUGGCGCACGGGUGCGUAACGCGUGGGAAUCUGCCCCUUGGUUCGGAAUAACAGUUGGAAACGACUGCUAAUACCGGAUGAUGACGAAAGUCCAAAGAUUUAUCGCCAAGGGAUGAGCCCGCGUAGGAUUAGCUAGUUGGUGAGGUAAAGGCUCACCAAGGCAACGAUCCUUAGCUGGUCUGAGAGGAUGAUCAGCCACACUGGGACUGAGACACGGCCCAGACUCCUACGGGAGGCAGCAGUAGGGAAUAUUGGACAAUGGGCGAAAGCCUGAUCCAGCAAUGCCGCGUGAGUGAUGAAGGCCUUAGGUUGUAAAGCUCUUUACCGAGAUGAUAAUGACAGUAUCGGGAGAAGUAGGCCCCGGACUAAACGUCCGUGCCAGCACGCCGC